AAAGAUUAAGCCAUGCAUGUCUAAGUAUAAGCAAUUAUACAGCGAAACUGCGAAUGGCUCAUUAAAUCAGUUAUCGUUUAUUUGAUAGUACCUUACUACAUGGAUAACCGUGGUAAUUCUAGAGCUAAUACAUGCUUAAAAUCCCGACUUCGGAAGGGAUGUAUUUAUUAGAUUAAAAACCAAUGCCCUUCGGGGCUCACUGGUGAUUCAUAAUAACUUCUCGAAUCGCACGGCCUUGUGCCGGCGAUGGUUCAUUCAAAUUUCUGCCCUAUCAACUUUCGACGGCUGGGUCUUGGCCAGCCGUGGUGACAACGGGUAACGGGGAAU
RNAcentral lists this ribosomal RNA (327 nucleotides) under uncultured fungus. RNAcentral describes it as "SSU rRNA". It matches the Rfam family "Eukaryotic small subunit ribosomal RNA", at positions 39 to 370 of the family's 1831-position model. Lineage: Eukaryota; Fungi. The record is from RNAcentral.